Non-coding RNA from Chrysemys picta bellii (western painted turtle), 78 nucleotides. Lineage: Eukaryota; Metazoa; Chordata; Testudines; Emydidae. The record is from the annotation of a RefSeq genome assembly.
CAGUCCCCUGCUAGCUCAGUUGGUAGAGCAUCAGACUUUUAAUCUGAGGGUCCAGGGUUCAAGUCCCUGGUCAGCUGA